Long non-coding RNA from Cavia porcellus (domestic guinea pig), 409 nucleotides. RefSeq lists it as uncharacterized. Lineage: Eukaryota; Metazoa; Chordata; Mammalia; Rodentia; Caviidae. The transcript has 3 exons. The record is from RefSeq and is a predicted model, not a curated record.
UCCUGCCUGGUUCCAAGAUGUCAUCCCAUUGGAGCAACAUCCUUUUCCAUGAAAGGAUUUUAUUCCUGGCAUUCACCAAAGACAUGUCACUCCAAUAUGUGAUUUGAAAUGCUAAAUGCAAAUGAUGACCUGACAAUCAACCCUCUGCACACAUUUUUAGAUCACCUUGGGUACAUCUUGUAGCUAAAAAAGGAUUCAAAUUCAAAGUCAGCCAACCCGGCUUCAGACUCCAUCCUCCAACUGUCACGCCGUAGAGCUGGCAUAAAACCUGGUGGGGUGGAGCAUGAGAUCACCUCAGGGGCUUUGGUGUUGGGUCUUGGAAUCUUCCAGCUUCAAAUUUUCAGCAUCGCAGAACGUAAUUCCCACUAUGUCCCGUUCCAUGACCACUACACCAGGAAUGUAAGUGCCA